CGGCGGACGGGUGAGUAACACGUGGGUAACCUACCUAUAAGACUGGGACAACUUCGAGAAACCGGAGCUAAUACCGGAUAAGAUAUCGAACCGCACGGUUCGAUAGUGAAAGAUGGUUUUGCUAUCACUUAUAGAUGGACCCGCGCCGUAUUAGCUAGUUGGUGAGGUAACGGCUCACCAAGGCAACGAUACGUAGCCGACCUGAGAGGGUGAUCGGCCACACUGGAACUGAGACACGGUCCAGACUCCUACGGGAGGCAGCAGUG
This 266-nucleotide ribosomal RNA is filed under the name uncultured Staphylococcus sp. RNAcentral describes it as "partial 16S ribosomal RNA". It matches the Rfam family "Bacterial small subunit ribosomal RNA", at positions 96 to 356 of the family's 1533-position model. The record is from RNAcentral. Lineage: Bacteria; Bacillati; Bacillota; Bacilli; Caryophanales; Staphylococcaceae.